RNAcentral lists this unclassified non-coding RNA (307 nucleotides) under plant metagenome. RNAcentral describes it as "partial contains 5.8S ribosomal RNA, internal transcribed spacer 2, and large subunit ribosomal RNA". The stretch from base 1 to 105 matches the Rfam family "5.8S ribosomal RNA", at positions 50 to 154 of the family's 154-position model. The record is from RNAcentral.
GAAAUGCGAUAAGUAAUGUGAAUUGCAGAAUUCCGUGAAUCAUCGAAUCUUUGAACGCACAUUGCGCCCUCUGGCAUUCCGGGGGGCAUGCCUGUCCGAGCGUCAUUACGCACCCUCAAGCCCGACUUGUGUGAUGGGUGCCUGUCCCGCCUCCGCGCGCGGACUCACCUCAAAUCCAUUGGCGGCCCCCGCGUCGGCCACGAGCGCAGCAGAAACGCGAACUCGUGAGCCCGUCCGGGCGGCUCCCAGAAGCUACACCCACCCAGUUUGACCUCGGAUCAGGUAGGGAUACCCGCUGAACUUAAGC